This 469-nucleotide ribosomal RNA is filed under the name Staphylococcus aureus. Its description in RNAcentral is "partial 23S ribosomal RNA". It matches the Rfam family "Bacterial large subunit ribosomal RNA", at positions 12 to 474 of the family's 2925-position model. The record is from RNAcentral. Lineage: Bacteria; Bacillati; Bacillota; Bacilli; Caryophanales; Staphylococcaceae.
UAAGGGCGCACGGUGGAUGCCUUGGCACUAGAAGCCGAUGAAGGACGUUACUAACGACGAUAUGCUUUGGGGAGCUGUAAGUAAGCUUUGAUCCAGAGAUUUCCGAAUGGGGAAACCCAGCAUGAGUUAUGUCAUGUUAUCGAUAUGUGAAUACAUAGCAUAUCAGAAGGCACACCCGGAGAACUGAAACAUCUUAGUACCCGGAGGAAGAGAAAGAAAAUUCGAUUCCCUUAGUAGCGGCGAGCGAAACGGGAAGAGCCCAAACCAACAAGCUUGCUUGUUGGGGUUGUAGGACACUCUAUACGGAGUUACAAAGGACGACAUUAGACGAAUCAUCUGGAAAGAUGAAUCAAAGAAGGUAAUAAUCCUGUAGUCGAAAAUGUUGUCUCUCUUGAGUGGAUCCUGAGUACGACGGAGCACGUGAAAUUCCGUCGGAAUCUGGGAGGACCAUCUCCUAAGGCUAAAUACU